AGAAAUUUGGGAAACUGGGAAUAUUUUGGGGCUCUGGAUUUCAUUGCUGGAAAAUGCUUUGAAAUGUCUAUUCCAUGUGCAGAGCAAAUGUCUAUAGGUGCAUGAAUAUCUUCUAUAACUGGUGAGUGCCAUGGACUACUUUUCAAUAUAAGUACCUUGUCCUCUUGAUGGGCAAUCUCCAUGUGAAGUUCUUAUAGGUGUCGUUUGAGUCUUAUUUUUUGAGAACGAAGUUUUUUAAUAAGUGAUUUGUUUUGAAAAAUGGGUUGUUGAAG
RNAcentral lists this long non-coding RNA (272 nucleotides) under Olea europaea subsp. europaea. The record is from RNAcentral. Lineage: Eukaryota; Viridiplantae; Streptophyta; Magnoliopsida; Lamiales; Oleaceae.